CUGGCGAAGGAGACGCCUCUCGGCGAGCGGCACUGAAAACACCUUGAUCGUCGCCAAGGCGGGUCGCGUGACGACUAGAGAAUCAGACUCCGAGUGGGAACUUCUGCUGUACCUUUCAGAGGGCCGAUAUGUGAAGUGGCUUCGCACUGAAGUACGUGGACAAUGGAAAAGCAUGAGUUGCGUGAGUCACUUUGGUUAAAUGCAUCAACAGGGCAACAAAACAAGAUCCAUGCAUCCCCUGUAGCUGCCUUUCCUGCGCAGGAUCACAAAGGGCAGAGGCUCACCUGGGAGCUACAGGAGUAACGCAGCAGGGGGCAACAACCCAUACCUGCAGCCAAUUUGGUAACCCCAAUUAACUUCGGCAUGUUUUUCUGACUGUUCGGAGGGGAGGAACCGGAGUACUCAAAGAAAACCAACAUGACGACAUGGGAAGAACACACAAACCCCAUACUCAUGGGGACAUUUCGGAGACUCAAACCCUGGUCCAAGAGACUGACCAAAAAUAUCAUCAGAAUCAGCGUGGGUACAGCGCCCCCCCCCACCCCGUACCAUCUCGCCAGACCCUCUGCGUCCUGUUGGUUGAGUGUGAGCAUGCGGACACAGCCCCCGACGCGAUGCGACAGGCCCCCGUACCAGGUGACAGGCAUGCCCCAAGCUACGGUAAAUCAAUAACGUUAAAAUAAACAGACAAACAAAUAAAGAAA
Paramormyrops kingsleyae is the source of this 704-nucleotide long non-coding RNA. RefSeq lists it as uncharacterized. The record is from RefSeq and is a predicted model, not a curated record. Lineage: Eukaryota; Metazoa; Chordata; Actinopteri; Osteoglossiformes; Mormyridae.